CCUACGGGGGGCAGCAGUAGGGAAUAUUGCUCAAUGGGGGAAACCCUGAAGCAGCAACGCAGCGUGGAGGAUGAAGGUUUUCGGAUUGUAAACUCUUUUUGUUAGAGAAGAUAAUGACGGUAUCUAACGAAUAAGCACCGGCUAACGUCGUGCCAGCAGCCGCGGUAAGACGGAGGGUGCAAGCGUUACUCGGAAUCACUGGGCGUAAAGAGCGCGUAGGCGGGAUAGCAAGUCAGAUGUGAAAUCCUAUGGCUUAACCGUAGAACUGCAUUUGAAACUGUUAGUCUAGAGUAUGGGAGAGGUAGGUGGAAUUCGUGGUGUAGGGGUAAAAUCCGUAGAGAUCAAGAAGAAUACUGAUUGCGAAGGCGACCUGCUAGAACGUAACUGACGCUGAUGCGCGAAAGCGUGGGGAGCAAACAGGAUUAGAUACCCGGGUAGUC
Molecule: ribosomal RNA, 440 nt
Filed under: uncultured bacterium
Lineage: Bacteria
Description: partial 16S ribosomal RNA
Rfam family: Bacterial small subunit ribosomal RNA
Source: RNAcentral